CUUCUUCAUUUUUACAGAUGAAGACAUUGAGUCAAUCUGAGUUGAGUGACUUAGCCAGAGUCACACAACCAAAAUGUUUUCCUGAUGAUGUAUGGUAGUGUGUAUUCGAACACCACAGAAGUAAAGCUGCAGAUGACCCAGAGGGCAAUGGAAAGAUGCAUGGUCAUCAAGGAUACUUCUAAAAUUAUGAGUCUGGAUAAUUGGGAGAAUAGUAGUGCCCUCAACAGAAAUAGAGAAGAUUGGAAGAAGGACCAGUUUAAGAAAAGAAAUGAUGAUCUAUUAGUAAGUAUAUACCUUCCUUCAUUUAAUCAUUCUAUAGUAAUGCUUAUUCUAUUUCACUGGCAUAUUUUAAACAUUUCUCCUAAUUAUAUUAUUCAUGACCUCAAAUGUCUCAUAGCAGAAAAGGCUAAAUUUAAAGAUAGAUGAUAAUUUUAUCAAUGGGCCAAAACUGGCAGCAAGACAUAGGAUAACACUGUGGAAUGAAUUAAAAAUAUUUUCAUGCAUUAUUGUUGUUGUCCUUCAUUUUUGAAGAGGACCAAAAUGACAUCACUAUAGAGCAAUAGGGAGAUGGGUGGGGCAAUAUAUGAGCAAUGAAAAUUUUCAGUUAUGAAUAGAAGUAAAAGGUGUCAUCAAGAAAAUAAAUGAGAGGGAGAGAAGGUAAGGUGGCCACGUGAUAAGGAAAAGGGGUGUCGGACAAGUGGACAGUCAGUGUGCUUUGUUGCAAAUUCUGGAAAAAGCAAAAAAAGCCUCCAGGGUGUUGAAUAAAUUCUGUGGCAAAUUUAUGGGAAAAUCUAAACAAAAGACAUACAGGAUAAGUAGGCAUGAGGGACAAGGAUGAUUUGCAACUUGAACUAUUUGAAGGAACUCCUAAAUCAG
Sarcophilus harrisii (Tasmanian devil) is the source of this 876-nucleotide long non-coding RNA. RefSeq lists it as uncharacterized. The record is from RefSeq and is a predicted model, not a curated record. NCBI's taxonomy places the organism in Eukaryota, Metazoa, Chordata, Mammalia, Dasyuromorphia, Dasyuridae. The transcript has 3 exons.